This is a long non-coding RNA of Eriocheir sinensis (Chinese mitten crab), 1256 nucleotides long. RefSeq lists it as uncharacterized. The transcript has 5 exons. The record is from RefSeq and is a predicted model, not a curated record. Lineage: Eukaryota; Metazoa; Arthropoda; Malacostraca; Decapoda; Varunidae.
CAACGUGGAGAUGAGCGAUGACUUGCCUGGGGAUGAGAAAAUAGGAUGAAGGAGGAAGAAGAUGGAGAGAUAAAAGAGGAAUAAGAUAGAGGGGAGGACUAAGGGAAAUAGGUUAGGUCAGGUUAGGUUAGGUGAGGAGAAGGGAAAUGUAAGUUAGGUUAGGUCGGGUUAGGGGAGGAAAAGGGAAAUGUAGGUUAGGUUAGGUUAGGUGAGGAAAAUGGAAAUGUAAGUUAGGUUAGGUCGGGUUAGGGGAGGAAAAGGGAAAUGUAGGUUAGGUUAGGUUAGGUUAGGUUAGGUGAGGAAAAGGGAAAUGUAGGUUAGGUUAGGUUAGGUUAGGUGAGGUUAGGUUGGGUUAGGUGAGGAAAAGGGAAAUGUAGGUUAGGUUAGGUUAGGUGAGGAAAAGGGAAAUGUAGGUUAGGUGAGGAAAAGGGAAAUGUAGGUUAGGUUAGGUUAGGUGAGGAAAAGGGAAAUGUAGGUUAGGUUAGGUUAGGUGAGGAAAAGGGAAAUGUAGGUUAGGUUAGGUUAGGUGAGGAAAAGGGAAAUGUAGGUUAGGUUAGGUUAGGUGAGGAAAAGGGAAAUGUAGGUUAGGUUAGGUUAGGUGAGGAAAAGGGAAAUGUAGGUUAGGUUAGGUUAGGUGAGGUUACGAAUAAGGGAAAUAUGGGUUAGCCUUUUUUAAUCAAGUUACAAGAGGUAUGGAAUGGAUGGAGAGGAGGAGUGAAGGAAAUAUGAUAAAGAAAGGAGAAUGCUAUGAACAAAAAUGAAAGAUGGAAAAGAAUGGUUGAAGGAAGAAGGAAAAGGAGGGAGAUAUGAUGAAGGAAGGAAUGAUAUGGACAAGAGGAAUGAAGGAAAUAUGAGUUACCCAGAGAAAUAGUGUGAAAUGGAGAGCAGAUAUGAGUUAAAUCUAUCUUAAGUUACAGAAGCAAAAGAAACCCUAAGAAAUAGAAGGAAAAAAAAGAGUAAAUACAGUAAACAAAGAAGGAAAAAAAGAAGGAAAAGAAUGGAAAAAGACUGUGAAAUAAGAGAGAGAACAUGAGUUAAAUCUAUCUUAAGUUACAGAAGCAAAAGUUACCCUGAGAAAUAGAAGGAAAAAAAGAGAGUAAAUACAGUAAACAAAGAAGGAAAGAAAGAAGGAAAAUAAUGGAAAAAGACUGUGAAAUAAGAGAGAGAAUAUGAGUUAAAUCUAUCUUAAGUUACAGAAGCAAAAGAAACCCUAAGAAAUAGAAGGAAAAAAAGAGAGUAAAUACAGUAAACAAAGA